ACCUAAAUUCGCCAAAGGAAACCACAAAAUUGAAAGAUUAUGUUAAAACAUAAAAGCUUGGUGCAUUCACUCACUCGCUCACUCACCUAUUGGAUUGACAUUUCCCCAGUAAGUCUCCUUCUGAGGAUGCUCCAGCGGAUCACCGUAGACCUCACUGGUGCUAGUAAGCAGAAACCUAGCCCCAAUUCUCUUCGCAAGGCCCAACAUGUUAAGCGUCCCCAUCACAUUCGUCUUGUAAACCAACAAUUAAGUAUAACAAAAUUCAAAUAAAGCAAUAUUUAAAAGAGAGUUGAAAAAAGGGGGAGUCAGUUAGAAAUUAGAAGGAUAUGAUGGUCUUGACGGGGUUGUACUUGUAAUGCACCGGCGAAGCGGGACACGCGAGGUGGUAGAUCUGAUCCACCUCGAGGAGAAUCGGUUCAACGACGUCAUGGCGAAUUAGCUCGAACCUAGGGUUGCCGAAGAGGUGCACCAGGUUCUCCUUUC
Molecule: long non-coding RNA, 483 nt
Filed under: Vigna radiata
Lineage: Eukaryota; Viridiplantae; Streptophyta; Magnoliopsida; Fabales; Fabaceae
Description: long non-coding RNA (VRAD_LNC008616)
Source: RNAcentral